UACAGAGGUCCCGAGCGUUGUUCGGAUUCAUUGGGCGUAAAGGGUGCGUAGGCGGCGGGGAAAGUCUGAUGUGAAAUCCUGGGGCUCAACCCUGGAACUGCAUUGGAUACUUCCUUGCUAGAGUACUGGAGAGGAAACUGGAAUUUACGGUGUAGCAGUGAAAUGCGUAGAUAUCGAGAGGAACACCUGCGGCGAAGGCGGGUUGCUGGGCUGACACUGACGCUGAGGCGCGAAAGCCAGGGGAGCGAACGGG
This 253-nucleotide ribosomal RNA is filed under the name uncultured bacterium. Its description in RNAcentral is "partial 16S ribosomal RNA". It matches the Rfam family "Bacterial small subunit ribosomal RNA", at positions 524 to 776 of the family's 1533-position model. The record is from RNAcentral.